Molecule: small RNA, 139 nt
Filed under: Erwinia tasmaniensis
Lineage: Bacteria; Pseudomonadati; Pseudomonadota; Gammaproteobacteria; Enterobacterales; Erwiniaceae
Description: CpoB/ybgF ICR thermometer
Rfam family: CpoB/ybgF ICR thermometer
About the family: Imprinting control region from upstream of cpoB/ybgF (tol/pal system protein).
Source: Rfam by way of RNAcentral
CCAGAUCUCUAUCGUUUCUUACGGUAAAGAAAAACCUGCAGUGCUGGGCCACGACGAGUCAGCGUAUGCUAAAAACCGUCGUGCCGUACUGGUAUACUAAGAGAGUCACAUGAUUAGUAGCUUCAGAACUCAUCUUCUG